Molecule: ribosomal RNA, 366 nt
Filed under: uncultured eukaryote
Lineage: Eukaryota
Description: partial 18S ribosomal RNA
Rfam family: Eukaryotic small subunit ribosomal RNA
Source: RNAcentral
CAAUAGCGUAUAUUAACGUUGUUGCAGUUAAAAAGCUCGUAGUUGGAUUUCUGGAGGGAGCGUCGGCCCGUAUUUACGAGUGCGUGACGUCUCUGUCCAUCCUUGCGGGAAGGCACGGCAUUGAUUUGUUGUGUCGGAUCGCAUCAUUUACUGUGAAAAAAUUAGAGUGUUCAAAGCAGGCUUUCGCUUGAAUACAUUAGCAUGGAAUAAUAAGAUAGGACUUUGGUGCUAUUUUGUUGGUUGAGCCUAAAGUAAUGAUUAAUAGGGAUAGUUGGGGGCACCUGUAUUGCGUUGUCAGAGGUGAAAUUCUUGGAUUUACGGAAGACAAACAGCUGCGAAAGCGUCUGCCAAGGAUGUUUUCAUUAA